Molecule: long non-coding RNA, 1328 nt
Organism: Fukomys damarensis (Damara mole-rat)
Lineage: Eukaryota; Metazoa; Chordata; Mammalia; Rodentia; Bathyergidae
Exons: 3
Source: RefSeq, a predicted model, not a curated record
GAAGCAGGAGAAGGCAGAAGGAGAAGCUAAGCCAGGCUGUGAUUUCCAGCGACACACAGCCUUGCUCGAUCUGAAGACAAGCUACGGAGUUUCUCUAGAAUGUGUCGCUUCUGCUGUGGAGCCAGCUCUCUGCUUUUGUGUCAGCGAUUGCAGGCUGUCACUGUGAGGGCGGAUUCCAGUACAAGCCGCUACCUUCAGCCAAGGGCGAUUUCCAGGGAACAGUGGCUGUGAGCCGCUAUUACUCACCCUCAUGGCAGCUGAGAGGCAGAUGCAAGAGCCGAGUAAAGGGAGUGUAGAUGGAGCAGUGAGAAGAUGUGGUACUCAUGCUCCCGUGUUCUGGCUUCCCCCAUUCAUUCUUUUCCGUCUUUGUUCAUCUUUCUCUCUCUUGUAAACUCUCUUUUGUUUUCUUCUUUCAUAGUGCUAGAGUUUAAGGAACUGCCACUUCUUUAACCUCCUCUUGAGGAACCAGAUAAUGGUUCACUACGAGAUGCUUCAGACAACUGGCGGAGUAGAAUAACGUUUAUUUAACUAUAUCUGCAUCUGGAGUGGAUCCUCUUGGCUUCUCCCCGGUAACUGUUCCCACUUCCUUUCUUUCCUGUGCCCAAGGCUUGUGUUCCUUUGCAGAGCCUGGAAAGCUGGGCGCUCCCUUCCCCAGCCUCUCUUUGUUUUCAUGUCCUGGCCGGGGAUGGAAGAAAUCUUGGGAGGACUCAUAGAGGAGGAAAAUCACCUUGGCCUUGCUGUGACGUUUCGAUGCUAGGAGCUACUUCAGACACUUUACCAGCCCACGACCAAGCCCACAGAAGCUCAGCGAAGUCGUGCUGCCAGCGUGUCCCUGAGGAAUGAAUGACAUAAUUAUGCAUUGAACAUGAUUUACUGGAUAUUUCAGGAGCUACAAGAAAGAGAACCAAUGAACCUAGAGGAUGUAAGAUAAAAGCACCUGAACAAGCUACGUCAUAUAGAGCUCAUAAUGAUCAUCCUUUGCAUUGCUCUAUAUAUGAGGUAUAUAUGUCUUUUUAUCUAUAUUUAUAGAAAACUGUGUACAUUGGCGCAUUGCUAGCUUUAGCGAACUAUAGAUAUUUUACCUCCUUGUUGUCUAGUCUUCUGUUUGUAAUUUUUUUACACAUAUAUUUAGUAAAAGGUGAAUGAUUUAUACAAUCCGAAGAGAAACCAGAGUAUUUUACACAUAUAUUUAGAACCAAAAAGACAGUGUUAAGGUAACUGUCAGACUUAAUUUAGAAAACUCAAGGGAAGGUGGAGGGGUAUUUUCAAUGAUAGCACACACACUUACCCCAUAAUACAAAAAAUAAGGGGUUCAUUGUCAUUCAGAC